Molecule: long non-coding RNA, 135 nt
Organism: Amblyraja radiata (thorny skate)
Lineage: Eukaryota; Metazoa; Chordata; Chondrichthyes; Rajiformes; Rajidae
Exons: 3
Source: RefSeq, a predicted model, not a curated record
GGCACCGUAUGGCCAUGCGGGGCCGGUCCCACUUAGAAGCGCGGAGGGGUAUAGAGUUGUGCGGGGCUGGUCCCGACAUCGCGCGGGGAUCCAAAAUUUCUGCAGUGACCGACUCUUUCAAGUGCCAAAUGGCCU